CCUCGGGCGGCAGCAGUGGGGAAUAUUGGACAAUGGGCGAAAGCCUGAUCCAGCCAUGCCGCGUGUGUGAAGAAGGCCUUCGGGUUGUAAAGCACUUUCAGUGGGGAAGAAAGCCUUGGGGCUAAUACCCUCGAGGAAGGACAUCACCCACAGAAGAAGCACCGGCUAACUCCGUGCCAGCAGCCGCGGUAAUACGGAGGGUGCGAGCGUUAAUCGGAAUUACUGGGCGUAAAGCGCGCGUAGGCGGUCUGAUAAGCCGGUUGUGAAAGCCCCGGGCUCAACCUGGGAACGGCAUCCGGAACUGUCAGGCUAGAGUGCAGGAGAGGAAGGUAGAAUUCCCGGUGUAGCAGUGAAAUGCGUAGAGAUCGGGAGGAAUACCAGUGGCGAAGGCGGCCUUCUGGACUGACACUGACGCUGAGGUGCGAAAGCGUGGGUAGCAAACAGGAUUAGAUACCCGUGUAGUC
This 464-nucleotide ribosomal RNA is filed under the name Vreelandella stevensii. RNAcentral's name for it is "partial 16S ribosomal RNA". It matches the Rfam family "Bacterial small subunit ribosomal RNA", at positions 339 to 795 of the family's 1533-position model. The record is from RNAcentral. Lineage: Bacteria; Pseudomonadati; Pseudomonadota; Gammaproteobacteria; Oceanospirillales; Halomonadaceae.